UCAAGCUACGAAGGGCAUAUGGUGGAUGCCUUGGCGCCAUGAGCCGAUGAAGGACGCGAUAAGCUGCGAUAAGCCGCGGGGAACUGCACAUAAGUAUCGAUCCGCGGAUUUCCGAAUGGGGAAACCCGGCAGCCGUAAUGGGCUGUCACCCGAAAGGGAGGGAACCCGGUGAACUGAAACAUCUAAGUAGCCGGAGGAAGAGAAAUCAAACGAGAUGCCCACAGUAGCGGCGAGCGAAGAGGGCAUAGCCCAAACCGGAGGCCUUCGGGCCUGCGGGGUUGCGGACCGGCGUAAACCGACGAGUUGCUAGUAGAAUUACCUGGAAAGGUAAGCGAGAGAGGGUAAAAGCCCCGUAUACGAAAGCGACGAGGAGGCGGCCGGAAUCCAGAGUACCACGGAGCACGAGGAAUUCUGUGGGAAACCGGGGGGACCACCCUCCAAGGCUAAACACUCCAUGGCGACCGAUAGCGCAUAGUACCAUGAGGGAAAGGUGAAAAGAACCCCGGGAGGGGAGUGAAAGAGAACCUGAAACCGUAUGUCUACAAGCAGUCGGAGCGAAAGCGACGGCGUGCCUAUUGAAGAAUGAGCCAACGAGUUGCGUGUGCUGGCGAGGUUAAGCAGAAGAUGCGGAGCCGUAGGGAAACCGAGUCUGAACAGGGCGUCAAGUCAGUAUACGCAGACCCGAAACUGCAGUGAUCUACGCAGGGCCAGGUUGAAACGCAGGUAAAAUUGCGCGGAGGACCGAACCGGGACAUGUUGAAAAAUGUUCGGAUGAGCUGUGCGUAGGGGUGAAAUUCCAAUCGAACGCAGAGAUAGCUGGUUCUCCUCGAAAUAGCUUUAGGGCUAGCCUCAGGCAGUAAGCGCAGGCGGUAGAGCACUGAUCGGGAUAGGGACUGUAAUGGUUACCGAACCCUGUCAAACUCCGAAUGGCAGCGCUGCAGAGCCUGGGAGUCAGACUACGAGUGAUAAGAUCCGUGGUCAAAAGGGAAACAGCCCAGACCAUCAGCUAAGGUCCCCAAUGCCGUACUAAGUGGAAAAGGAUGUGGGGUUUCAUAAACAACCAGGAUGUUGGCUCAGAAGCAGCCACCAUUUAAAGAGUGCGUAAUAGCUCACUGGUCGAGAGACCCUGCGCCGAAGAUUCCCGGGGCUAAAGUACGGAACCGAAGCUAUGGAUGCAUGCUUGGCAUGCGUGGUAGAGGAGCGUUCCCGUCGGGUUGAAGUCGUCCUGUAAGGGACGGUGGACGGACGGGAAGUGAGAAUGUUGGCAUGAGUAGCGAAAAGAACGGUGAGAAUCCGUUCCACCGAAAACACAAGGAUUCCUGAGCAACGAUCGUCGUCUCAGGGUAAGUCGGGACCUAAUCCGAGGCAUGGAGCGUAGGAGAUGGACAUCCGGUUGAAAUUCCGGAACCGGCAGGAAUCGUCAAGAGCAACGGAGUGACACAGGAAGGCAGGCGCGCAUGAGAUUGGAAGUUCAUGUGCAAGCGUGCGACGCGCGGGACAGGCAAACCCGUCCCGCACAAGCGCCAGGCGUGACGCGGAGGGAACCGCAAGGGACCCGAAGGCGCCGGACCUACACUGUCGAGAAAAGCUUCUAGCAAGAGACCUGCCGCCCGUACCGUAAACCGACACAGGUGUGUGGGGAGAGAAUCCUAAGGUGCGCGGGAGAACCCUCGUUAAGGAACUCGGCAAAAUGUACCCGUAACUUCGGGAUAAGGGUAGCCAUCUGGUGUGAAGGGACUUGCUCCCGGAGCGCCGGAAGGCCGCAGAGAAGAGGCCCAAGCGACUGUUUACCAAAAACUUAGGUGCCUGCCAAAGCGAAAGCUGACGUAUAGGUGCUGACACCUGCCCAGUGCCGGAAGGUUAAGGAAGGAGGUCCGGGUUCGACCCAAAGCCUUCGACCGAAGCCCCGGUGAACGGCGGCCGUAACUAUAACGGUCCUAAGGUAGCGAAAUUCCUUGUCGGGUAAG
Molecule: ribosomal RNA, 1967 nt
Filed under: human gut metagenome
Description: bacterial LSU rRNA
Rfam family: Bacterial large subunit ribosomal RNA
Source: RNAcentral